GAUGAAACAGAUCCAUAUCGAAUAACUAAUUAAAAAUUCUUCUACUUUUCUUUAUAAAUUGUAUUAUAUUUCAACACAUUCAUGCAGUACACUUCACAUCAUUCACUCACUUAAUCAAUUAAACAAGGAAUUUAUUAAUAAAUCAAUCAAUAACUAAUUAUUCAAUAUAAAAUCACUAAUAAUUGUUCACUGUGCAAAAGUUAUUUGAAGUGACUACUGUUUCUUAAUGAUUUUGACUCAUGAAUCAAUGCAGAUCACGAAUAAUUAACAAAAAUAAUGUGUUAAGCAAACUCAGCAAAUGAUGUAACAAAGUUCGAAAUGAUAGGAAAACAAAACGCGAAGCGUCACAGCCGUUUCAAAAAAUUUACACAAAAACAGAACACAUCAACUUAUCUCAGAGAUCUCAACAAGACUAUUCGAAAGAAACACGUGUUUACUCGACAAUGGCUGUGUUCAGCCACAAUAUAUACACGCAACUCUCGCGAUUUCAACUUGGAAAAAUGAACUGCAUGCACGAGAUAAGUAGAAAAGGACGGAAUUUUAAGGAAGAUCAAAAUAAAAUGUCGGCUCAAAGAAGAAGCAAUGAUAUGUUGUUAAAGAAUAUAAUAAAAAUGUAUAAGAACCAUACUUGUUUCCAAAGGACAUAAUAGUCACAGUAGUCACAGUAGUCACAGUGGGAAAUGACAACAAAAUCUAUGACAUCAUUACUCUAUUGCAGUGCUAUCGUAACGCACUAGGAUACAUUUUGGAACGGCUUUACCGCACUGUCAGUGAAUUUUGGAACACAGCUAUAGUCUAUAAUAUUCAAAUAUAAAAAUCUGAACUCAAUUCUGUCAAUA
Long non-coding RNA from Pogonomyrmex barbatus (red harvester ant), 839 nucleotides. Lineage: Eukaryota; Metazoa; Arthropoda; Insecta; Hymenoptera; Formicidae. The record is from RefSeq and is a predicted model, not a curated record.